Molecule: ribosomal RNA, 230 nt
Filed under: uncultured bacterium
Lineage: Bacteria
Description: partial 16S ribosomal RNA
Rfam family: Bacterial small subunit ribosomal RNA
Source: RNAcentral
GAUCAUGGCUCAGGAUGAACGCUGGCGGCGUGCUUAACACAUGCAAGUCGAACGAAGCACUUAUCUUUGAUUCUUUGGAUGAGAGGUUUGUGACUGAGUGGCGGACGGGUGAGUAACGCGUGGGUAACCUGCCUUACACAGGGGGAUAACAGUUAGAAAUGACUGCUAAUACCGCAUAAAACAGCAGAGUCGCAUGACUCAACUGUCAAAGAUUUAUCGGUGUAAGAUGG